UUUAUUUGACAAGUAGGAUUACAGUGAGAGAGAGAGAUAAAGGUCUUCCUUCUGUUGGUUCACUCUCCAAGUGGCCACAACGGCCAGAGCUGCAGUGAUCAGGAGCCUGGAGCCUGCUCCUGGUCUCUCAUGUGGCUGCAGGGGCCCAAGCACCCGGGCCAUGCUCUACUGCUUUCCCAGGCCAUAGCAGAGAGCUGCACUGGAAGAGGAGCAACCGAGACUAGAACCAGUGCCCACAUGGAAUGCUGGCGCUGCAGGAGUAACCUAGUGCACCACAGCACUGGCCCCGGUAUAAAUCAUUUACACUCUUGAUAGGAACAGUGAAUUGACCUGGUUAUGGAUUUUCUUUUUGGUAAGUUUUGGAUGACUAAGUGCAUCUCCUUUGUAGUUACAUGUCUAUUCUUAUUUUCUGUUGUAGUAAUAGUUUUCUUGAGGUGUGUAUAUAUAUUUAAUGCACACAUAUAUUACAGGAGGCACAGUAACCACAAUCACUUUGUCCAUUUAUUGUCCUUUUUCAACCUCUCAUUUUGUCUCCUGAAGUUUGAAACUUGGUACAAGCUGCAGGUACUAUGUGUGUGAUUUGUAUUGAGCCUUUGGGUUUGCUUGGUAAUUGUUGUUGGGUUAACUUAUGCAUUAGUUACUUAUAAAUAUGUAUGUUUUAGAUUUUAAUUACAAUAUAGUACACAUGGCAGGAAACACACACCAAUGUAUAGAGAGUGAGUUUUUUUGUCAUCUGAUCACAUUGAUACCAAUAUGUGAAAAGAACAAAGAAUGACUGGCAUCCCAAGGGUUUCCCUCCUCUCAAUUUUUUUGGUUAACUUGUGAAAUAAGAACACAUUUUCACUUACAUGGUAUGAUUCAGUGAAGCACUAUGUGUAACUAAAUAUACCAAGUGCUGUGACACACACAUUUUUUUAUUCUAUAGUUUAACUACUACAUACAAGAAGACAUGUGGUAUUUGUACUUUGGGACUGGGUUAUUUCACUUAGUGUAAUGAUCACCUGUUGAAUCUACUUUUUUACUUAUGUCAGGGUUUCAUUCCUUUUUGUGGUUGAGUAAUAUUUCAUCAUGCAUUUUCUUUAUCCAGUCAAGAUUGAGGGACAUUUAGGUUCAUUCCCUGUAUUAGCUAUUGUGAAUUGAGCUGCUAUAAAUAUGGGAGUGCCGAUAAAUUUUCAUAUUCUGAUUUAAUUUCCUUUGGGCAUAUUCCCAGGCUGGUUGGGUCAUAAGUCAGAUGUAUUUGUAGUUUCUGAGGAAUCUCAGUAGGGCCUUUGUUCAUGCUUCUACCUGUUUAAUUCCAACCAACAAUGUAUUACAAUACCUGUUCUUGGCAUCCUUAACAGCUUUGUCAUUUGUGAAUUUUUAGAUGAUAGCCAUUCUAAGUGGGGUGAGGUAGCAUUUCAUUGUGAUUUUAAUGCUUAUUUCCUGAGGGAUUGUGAUUCUGAGCAUUUUUUCAUGUUUCUGCUGGCCCUUUGUAUUUCACCCUUUGAAAAAUGUCUAUAAACAUACUCUGCCCAUUUCUUAGCUAGAUUGUUCGGUGCUCUUCAGUCUCUUGAUCUCUUUAUUCUGGGUAUUAAUGUUU
Oryctolagus cuniculus (rabbit) is the source of this 1579-nucleotide long non-coding RNA. The record is from Ensembl. NCBI's taxonomy places the organism in Eukaryota, Metazoa, Chordata, Mammalia, Lagomorpha, Leporidae.